UGAACGCUGGCGGCGGCCUAAACAUGCAAGUCGAACGGUAACAGGAUGUGCUUGCACAUCGCUGACGAGUGGCGGACGGGUGAGUAAUGCUUGGGAACUUGCCUUUGCGAGGGGGAUAACAGUUGGAAACGACUGCUAAUACCGCAUAAUGUCUUCGGACCAAACGGGGCUUCGGCUCCGGCGCAAAGAGAGGCCCAAGUGAGAUUAGCUAGUUGGUAAGGUAACGGCUUACCAAGGCGACGAUCUCUAGCUGUUCUGAGAGGAAGAUCAGCCACACUGGGACUGAGACACGGCCCAGACUCCUACGGGAGGCAGCAGUGGGGAAUAUUGCACAAUGGGGGAAACCCUGAUGCAGCCAUGCCGCGUGUGUGAAGAAGGCCUUCGGGUUGUAAAGCACUUUCAGUUGUGAGGAAAAGUUAGUAGUUAAUACCUGCUAGCCGUGACGUUAACAACAGAAGAAGCACCGGCUAACUCCGUGCCAGCAGCCGCGGUAAUACGGAGGGUGCGAGCGUUAAUCGGAAUUACUGGGCGUAAAGCGCACGCAGGCGGUUU
RNAcentral lists this ribosomal RNA (552 nucleotides) under uncultured bacterium. RNAcentral's name for it is "bacterial SSU rRNA". It matches the Rfam family "Bacterial small subunit ribosomal RNA", at positions 30 to 581 of the family's 1533-position model. The record is from RNAcentral.